UUGAAUUGAAUGCAACGGAAUAAUAAGAUGUUAUUUACUUAAGUUCUAGGCGAUUACACGUAAAGUAGUGGAAGAUUAAGCUAGAGCAAUUAUAAUCUAUGAGAAUGGUAAGGAUGGAGUGGAAGCUAAGCAAGUUCUAAACAAUCACUUAUAAAUCAAUAGGAAACAAAGCUAGAGAUAUUACACAAUCAAGUAUGAAUGUAAGGCAUGAAACACAAGAGAUAAGGCAUCACAAACACAAAGAUGUAUAGUGGUUCGGUGCACCCCAGCACCUACAUCCACUCCCCAAGACCUCUUAAAAAUUUCACUAUAAUCCCUCAGAUUACAGCCGGUUGUUUUACAAGCUCACAACCCAACUUGUUGUUUUGCGAGAUCACAACGAACUCGGUCGGUUUUC
RNAcentral lists this long non-coding RNA (397 nucleotides) under Phoenix dactylifera (date palm). RNAcentral's name for it is "long non-coding RNA (PDAC_LNC008249)". Lineage: Eukaryota; Viridiplantae; Streptophyta; Magnoliopsida; Arecales; Arecaceae. The record is from RNAcentral.